Molecule: long non-coding RNA, 459 nt
Filed under: Nicotiana tabacum (common tobacco)
Lineage: Eukaryota; Viridiplantae; Streptophyta; Magnoliopsida; Solanales; Solanaceae
Description: long non-coding RNA (NTAB_LNC004686)
Source: RNAcentral
AAAAAGAGAAUUGGAGGAAGAAAUGGUCCAAUUCCCAAAGAUUACAAAUACCAAUAACCACUAGUCCUAAACAUAGACAAGAAACUAUACUUAACCCCACCCGGGCUUCGUAUAUUCUUGUUCUGACCAUUUUUCCCCUUCAGCCAAAUGUUGCCGACGACUUUCUGACCUUCUCAAAAACCUCUGUAUUUCUCUCACAUUUCUGGUCCCUAUCUCUUGGUACGUAUAUUUAACUUUAUUUAAUUUACAACUUUCAUUAUCUUUCUAUACGAAAACAAAAAAUAGCAAAUUGAUUUAUGAUAUAACAAUUUUCUGAUUUCUAGGGUUUUGCAUUUGGUGAUUCAGACAUCUAUUGGAGAAGACGAUGGCAGCUCCACCAGCUAGGGCACGAGCAGAUUAUGAUUAUCUUAUCAAGCUCCUCCUCAUUGGCGAUAGCGGUUAGUUUUACUUUUUCUUUUU